Molecule: ribosomal RNA, 466 nt
Filed under: uncultured bacterium
Lineage: Bacteria
Description: bacterial SSU rRNA
Rfam family: Bacterial small subunit ribosomal RNA
Source: RNAcentral
UAGGGAAUAUUGGACAAUGGGUGAGAGCCUGAUCCAGCCAUGCCGCGUGCAGGAAGAAGGCGUUAUGCGUUGUAAACUGCUUUUUGCCAGGGGAUAAAAUGAGCAUGCGUGCUUAAUUGAAGGUACCUGGUGAAUAAGCCACGGCUAACUACGUGCCAGCAGCCGCGGUAAUACGUAGGUGGCAAGCGUUGUCCGGAUUUAUUGGGUUUAAAGGGUGCGUAGGUGGCCCUGUAAGUCAGUGGUGAAAUAUCUCAGCUUAACUGAGAGGGUGCCAUUGAUACUGCAGGGCUUGAGUACAGAUGAGGUAGGCGGAAUUGACGGUGUAGCGGUGAAAUGCAUAGAUAUCGUCAAGAACACCGAUAGCGAAGGCAGCUUACCAAGCUGUAACUGACACUGAGGCACGAAAGUGUGGGGAUCAAACAGGAUUAGAUACCCCGUAGUCCCUGAGCGGGCUGGCAAGGCGCAU